This 492-nucleotide ribosomal RNA is filed under the name uncultured bacterium. RNAcentral describes it as "partial 16S ribosomal RNA". It matches the Rfam family "Bacterial small subunit ribosomal RNA", at positions 29 to 507 of the family's 1533-position model. The record is from RNAcentral.
AGUGAACGCUGGCGGUGGGCCUAACACAUGCAAGUCGAACGGCAGCACAGUAAGAGCUUGCUCUUACGGGUGGCGAGUGGCGGACGGGUGAGGAAUACAUCGGAAUCUACUUUUUCGUGGGGGAUAACGUAGGGAAACUUACGCUAAUACCGCAUACGACCUACGGGUGAAAGCAGGGGAUCUUCGGACCUUGCGCGAUUGAAUUAGCCGAUGCCGGAUUAGCUAGUUGGCGGGGUAAAGGCCCACCAAGGCGACGAUCCGUAGCUGGUCUGAGAGGAUGAUCGGCCACACUGGAACUGAGACACGGUCCAGACUCCUACGGGAGGCAGCAGUGGGGAAUAUUGGACAAUGGGCGCAAGCCUGAUCCAGCCAUACCGCGUGGGUGAAGAAGGCCUUCGGGUUGUAAAGCCCUUUUGUUGGGAAAGAAAAGCAGCAGGUUAAUCCCCCGCUGUUCUGACGGUACCCAAAGAAUAAGCACCGGCUAACUUCGUG